Homo sapiens (human) is the source of this 1451-nucleotide long non-coding RNA. RefSeq annotates it as CDH12 antisense RNA 4. The record is from RefSeq and is a predicted model, not a curated record. NCBI's taxonomy places the organism in Eukaryota, Metazoa, Chordata, Mammalia, Primates, Hominidae. The transcript has 3 exons.
UUCUUACAGUUUUCGUGUUUAUUUCUUAAGAUACUUGGUUAACAAAGUAUUAGAUAAGCUUCUUGAAUUUGGAGAUUAUGUCUCCUCUCCCAGAAAUCCACAAUAUGAAAUUGAUAUAUUGGACUGUAGAGGAUCAAUAUAGACUAUAAGACACACAGUAUGCCCCCUCUAACCUGCUGAAACAGAGUUUACCUCUGGAAGGAACUAGCUUCCUUCCAAUGAAGUGUCACGCUAAAUGGUGUUGAACACUGACUCUUCUUGGAGUGCAAAAGACUUAUUUGCUGUGGUCUCCUGUGCAAUAUUUGGCACAUUCUUUAUAAUCUUUACCUUAAGUCUUUUUCAUGGAUACUUUUCUCUGUCUCUCUCUCUUUUUUUUUUUUUUUUUUUUUUUUGAGAUGGAGUCUCGCUCUGUCUCCUAGGCUGGAGUGCAGUGGCGUGAUCUCAGCUCACUGCAACCUCUGCCUCCUGGGUUCAAGUGGUUCUCCUGUGUCAGCCUCACGAGUAGCUGGGAUUACAGGUACGCACCACCACACCUGGCUAAUUUUUGUAUUUCUAGUAGAGACGGGGUUUCACCAUGUUGACCAGGCUUGUCUCGAACUCCUGACCUACUGAGAGUAUUUCUUAAACCUCUUAUCUAAAAUUCAUCACCGUCUUCAAUUUCAGCAUUCAUUUGUCUAUUCCUUUAUUUUUUUCCAUAACAUGCCUUCACGUACCAUAACACUCCCUUACACUGUGCCAUUUAUCUGUUUAGCACCAUGCUUACAAUGUUUUAUAAAGGUAGAUUUUAUGGAAUCAGCAACCUAUCAAACUUAUUAAUCUGUACCUUCCACAUAUAGUAGGCUCUCUUAAUUAUGUAAUAAAUUAAUGACUCAAUAUUGAUAAACUGUAUCUUUCUCAAAUUCCAUAAGAUGGAUUUCUAUUAUAUGUGUUCCCAGACUUUUUCCUUAAAAAGCCUCUAUCUUAGGUUCCUACGCUUGCCUUCAGGAGACUGACUUAACUUUCCUUCUCUUCCUCUUAACUCAAAUGCUAUCAGGUAUAGUCACGGAAUCAUAUUGUGGGUUUCCAUGACUAUACUUGAAGUGCUUCCAUACCUGUUAGCAUUUGAUAGGCCAGAAACACGAGCCCUAGAAUGAGUGUACUUUGUGAUGUUUAUUAUGUUAUCAGAGAUGAGUGUUCUAACACCCAAGGCUUCUUCACAUUCCCAAUAUGUGAAAGUGUGUUUGCAACCACAGAGAAAAGCACUCAAUGCAGACUUGAUUUUAUAUAUUUUGCUUUCAGGCAAUGAAACCCCUGCUGCUAAAGGGUCAUCUACCAUAGAAGAGUAACAACUGGGCCAGUAGAGAGAAAAGCGCACUUUGAAGCAAGCAGAGAGCACAGAAGACAUGUAACUGCUGGCCCUUCAGCCUGUGCCCUAGAAUGAAGACACGAGGAACAAAACUGGACCCAACUGU